AUUAACCCAACCCCACCCUUCCAAAUCCCUCUUCAGUCGUCUUCCCCAAAUAAAAAAUCCCUAAAACCUCCAUUAAAUUUAAUUUCUGCCUAAUCUGUUAUGUUUUCUUUCUAAAUUCAAAGUUUGCAGCUUCAGAUGAGCACCCGAGGCAGUUCAUAAACAUGCCAGAAGAUGCACUUCAGAUGGUUCUUUCUCAAGUCACAGACCAGAACUUGAAGCUCACCUUACAAUUUUGAAUUGGAUUGCACCAUGCUGGACUGAAUGAUAAAGACAAAUCAUUGGCCGAGGAACUAUUUGCAAACAACAAGAUUCAGGCAACUAUAUCAUCUGAAAAUUUCAGAUCUCUAUGAGCAAUAAUAUACUGAAAUUGAAGCUUAUAUUUGAGUCAUUUUGGCGGCAAAUUUCUAGGUGUUGGUCUGUACAAGUACGUUAGCAUGGGUGGUAAACCUUCCUGCAUAUUUGGUUACUAUUAAGGUAUCCUUUUUGAAUUUUGGACUUCAAUCAGAUGUGAACUACGCUAUUAUGAAAAGAAAUCUGUGUGUUAUUGAGUUAUGGAAAACAAACGUGCAAGUUGUUAAUCCAUAUAUAGCUUUAAGUUAUUUCGUUUUCUUCUUGGUUUGUUAUUCUGUUAAGAAUCAGUAGUUGUUGACUUAUCUGUUGCUUAAGUUCAUUUUGUAUUUAAGAACGUUACUCUUCACUCCUAUUUUUUUUUUUUAAUCUUGUAAGAGUUGUGAGUUUGGUGCGAAUGUUCAGCACUGCCUCAGCCUGCAUUUAGCUUGCACAUACUCACAUUAGCUUGAUAAAAUAGUGUUGCUGCUUCACAGAGUCAUCACCAGUUGAUUGAA
Nicotiana attenuata is the source of this 845-nucleotide long non-coding RNA. RefSeq lists it as uncharacterized. The record is from RefSeq and is a predicted model, not a curated record. The transcript has 2 exons. NCBI's taxonomy places the organism in Eukaryota, Viridiplantae, Streptophyta, Magnoliopsida, Solanales, Solanaceae.